ACUGGAGUGGCGGAGUGGUUAACGCGAUAGACUUGAAUGCUCAUGCAUACGAUAUCUAUUACCUUAGGGUGCGCAGGUUCAAAUCCUGUCUCCAGUG
Non-coding RNA from Dissoconium aciculare CBS 342.82, 97 nucleotides. The record is from the annotation of a RefSeq genome assembly. Lineage: Eukaryota; Fungi; Ascomycota; Dothideomycetes; Mycosphaerellales; Dissoconiaceae.